UCCAGAGGUGAAUUAUUCAAAACAACGAGC
RNAcentral lists this non-coding RNA (30 nucleotides) under Mus musculus (house mouse). Lineage: Eukaryota; Metazoa; Chordata; Mammalia; Rodentia; Muridae. The record is from RNAcentral.